This 468-nucleotide ribosomal RNA is filed under the name uncultured bacterium. RNAcentral describes it as "partial 16S ribosomal RNA". It matches the Rfam family "Bacterial small subunit ribosomal RNA", at positions 28 to 507 of the family's 1533-position model. The record is from RNAcentral.
GACGAACGCUGGCGGCGUGCUUAACACAUGCAAGUCGAACGGAAAGGCCCUGCUUUUGUGGGGGGCUCGAGUGGCGAACGGGUGAGUAACACGUGAGUAACCUGCCCGUGACUUUGGGAUAACUUCAGGAAACUGGGGCUAAUACCGGAUAGGAGCUCCUGCUGCAUGGUGGGGGUUGGAAAGUUUCGGCGGUUGGGGAUGGACUCGCGGCUUAUCAGCUUGUUGGUGGGGUAGUGGCUUACCAAGGCUUUGACGGGUAGCCGGCAUGAGAGGGUGACCGGCCACAUUGGGACUGAGAUACGGCCCAGACUCCAACGGGAGGCAGCAGUGGGGAAUAUUGCACAAUGGGCGGAAGCGUGAUGCGGAGACGCCGCGUGCGGGAUGCAGGCCUUCGGGUUGUAAACCGCUUUCGCCUGUGACGAAGGGGGAGUGACGGUAAUGGGUAAAGAAGCACCGGCUAACUACGUG